CUUGCCAUUUGGAUAUAUCCUAGCUGUGUUUGUGCCCUCACUCAUGGUCCAGACUUUUUUCAAAUAGGACAUGUAGUUUGUCUGCAGCGAGUGUUUUGGUAGAAACUGCGCCUCCCAUUCAUUUUAAUGGGAAAUGACCACAGACAAGUGGGCACACCAUCUUUGGACCUUGAGUGUGACGCGAUCGGGAGGGGGGGGGCGGUCGCGCUGGGGGCGGCACAACGCGGCUCGGGCCCGACAGUGCCCCACCGGGGCCCUAGUUAUUAUUUUUCCUCCCCUUUGAACUGGAAAAUGGCCCACUUCCCACUGGCGAAAACUCAUGAAAUUUGGCAGGACGACCGGGCCUGGUGAAAAAUUUGAUAUUCCGCAGUCGCCCAAACAAGAAAAUGCAAAAUGGCUCCAUAGCGCCCCCUAAGGUGAAAAUUCACACUAUUGAAUGUCACGCCUGUACGCUUUGUCAAAAUGACACAAAAAUUGACACACACAUGUAUCUCAAUAAGAUCUACAAAAAAGUCAGUGCGGGCGUAUCUGUCAAAUGUACGGUUAAAGGGUUAUUUCGCAUUUUUUGCCGAUCCGCACACAUUGGAAUUUCGCUAACUCCUCCGAAGGCUUUCGUUCCACCGGCACCACAUUUGCUCAGGCCAAUCUACACCCCAUGGCCAUUAAAAGUUAUUCAAAUCAUGACGCUGCACCCCACGGUUUAGGUUCUAGGGGGCGCCAAAGAUAACCCUAAGAUCCACAUAUUUUAAAGUCUUAUAACUUUUUAUUUUUGUCCCCACUGGCCUCCAAGUUUUCUAGGAUGAUGCAAUGUCCAGCCAUCAACACAUUUGUGAAGGAAUUUUUACUCCCCAAAAGAGCGCCCCCCCAUGGCAGGAGAAAAAAGUCCAUUUUUUCUUGUCCCCUAAGGUGAAAAUACACAUUGUUGAGUGUAACACCUGUACGCUUUGGCAAAAUGACACCAAAAUUGACACACACAUGUAUCUCAAUAAGAUCUACAAAAAAGUCAAUGCGCGCGUAUCUGUCAAAUGUACGGUUAAAGGGUUAUUCCGCAUUUUUUGCCGAUCCGCACACAUUGGAAUUUCGUUAACUCCUCCGAAGGCUUUCGUUCCACCGGCACCACAUUUGCUCAGGCCAAUCUACACCCCAUGGCCAUUAAAAGUUAUUCAAAUCAUGACGCUGCACCCCACGGUUUAGGUUCUAGGGGGCGCCAAAGAUAACCGUAAAAUCCACAUAUUUAAAAGUCUUAUAACUUUUUAUUUUUGUCCCCACUGGCCUCCAAGUUUUCUAGGAUGAUGCAAUGUCCAGCCAUCAACACAUUUGUGAAGGAAUUUUUACUCGCCAAAAGAGUGCCCCCCCAUGGCAGGAGAAAAAAGUCAAUUUUUUCUUGUCCACUAAGGUGAAAAUACACAUUGUUGAGUGCUACGCCUGUAUGUUUUGUCGUAUUGACACAAAAAUUGACAAUCAUGUGUAUCUCAAUUAGAUCUACGAAAAAGUCAAAGAGCGCGUAUUUGUAUAAUGUACGGUUAAAGGGCUAUUUUGCAUUUUUUGCCGAUUCGCACACAUUGGAAUGUGGCUAUCUCCUCCUAAGGCUUUCGUCCCACCGAUACCAAAUUUGCUCAGGGCAAUCUACACCCCAUGCCCAUUCAAAGUUGUAAAAAUCAUGGCGCUGCACCCCACGGUUUACGUUCUAGGGGGCGCCAAAGAUGACCCAAAAAUCCACAUUCUUAAAAGUCAUUUUGGCCACUGCAGGAGUACAGAGUACUGCAGUUCUAGGGGGCGCCAAAGAUGACCCAAAAAUCCACAUUCUUAAAAGUCUUUUUGGCCACUGCAGGAGUACAGAGUACUGCAGGAUACACACACAUAUACACACACGCCAACAUACACACACACACACACACACACACACACACACACACACACUCAGAGUCUGUUUUUUAGCACCUGCAAAAACAUGCUGUUUACAUAUUUGACAAGAAUGCAGAGGCUUCCUUUUGCCCCUGAAAAAAAUCAAAUUUCAAACACAACUUGACUGUUCAUUUCUCCAAAAGACAACCAUGAAGCUCCAUCCAAACCUGAAGCAGAUAGUUGGUGCAUGUGUACAGUAACCUGAGGGGAGUGAGGUGACUAUUUCUGAGGAGAACAUGAGCAGUGAAGAUUCACCUUGGAGCUAGAACAGGGACGUGCACAUGAUUAUACAGGGGCAGGGGCUCAAGUUUUUUCCAGUCAUUUAUACAAUAUGGAAAUUAAUGUGAAAUUAAACCACAAAUAUGUGUGAUGAACUGUUUUUAAAACUUAAACUUCAAAUAAAAAUUGUAAACUUCAAAACAUAUGCAAAUUUUUAACAAAGAACAUAGUAAUUUACCUCUAUUUACAUCAAAAUGCAGGCAAUGGCCCAGGCGUUCUUUGUAAAAUUAUUUACAAAACACUGUAUAGUCUCACAAAUGUCACUUUUUAUUUAUGCCACUACAAAAAAACAUGAUGUAAAUGAUGCAUGAUGUAAAACAUGAUGUAAAAAACUUGUGUAGAUCCUCCUCUAUGUCAGUCCAUGUGUAAUUUUUCCAUAAUUCUUUGUUUUUUGCAGCAUUUUUGUUAGUGUAACUGCAGAUUGUGCUGACAGUGUCUAUGGCACACAAAAAAAAAAAAAUUAAAAUGCCUCAACAUGAACCCCUGGUGGUCUCUGAGGGUGAAACCUGCUAACUGCUGCAGCUCUGUCAGCUUCAGUCUCCCAUGCAGAGCUCUGAGCGCAUGUGUGGCUCUGCACCCUUAGCAGCGUUGCUAACUCCUCAGUAAGGAAAGCCUGCUUCAUGUCAGAGUCUCUAAACUCCAGAAGAAGUCGAUAAGUGAAAGCAACACGCACUGGCAGGAAGAACAGCAAACGCCGAUGAAGGAAAAGGGUCUUUGCAGUGAUGGGCGUUACCAGAGAGGGCGAUGGCCAGAGGACACAAAUGGGACGGGAAGGCAGCACGUUGGGGGGGGGGGAGGGACGCGACACGGCUCGGGCCCGCCAGUGCCCCAACGGGGUCCUAGUUAGGGCCCGAGCGUAGCUGCUAAGCAGCUGCGAGAGCCCUCUUGUUCCUGAUGGAUUCUUCUUUUUAGGGCCCGAGCGUAGCUGCUAAGCAGCUGCGAGAGCCCUCUUGUUCCUGUAGUUUCCUUCUUUUGUUAUUAUUAUUAUUAUUAUUUUUCCUCCCCUUUGAACUGGAAAAUGGCCCACUUCCCACUGGCGAAAACUCAUGAAAUUUGGCAGGACGACCGGGCCUGGUGAAAAAUUUGAUAUUCCGAAGUCGCCCAAACAAGAAAAUGCAAAAUGGCUCCAUAGCGCCCCCUAAGGUGAAAAUUCACACUAUUCACUGUCACGCCUGUACGCUUUGUCAAAAUGACACAAAAAUUGACACACACAUGUAUCUCAAUAAGAUCUACAAAAAAGUCAGUGCGGGCGUAUCUGUCAAAUGUACGUUUAAAGGGUUAUUUCGCAUUUUUUGCCGAUCCGCACACAUUGGAAUUUCGCUAACUCCUCCGAAGGCUUUCGUUCCACCGGCACCACAUUUGCUCAGGCCAAUCUACACCCCAUGGCCAUUAAAAGUUAUUCAAAUCAUGACGCUGCACCCCACGGUUUAGGUUCUAGGGGGCGCCAAAGAUAACCCUAAGAUCCACAUAUUUAAAAGUCUUAUAACUUUUUAUUUUUGCCCUCACUGGCCUCCAAGUUUUCUAGGAUGAUGCAAUGUCCAGCCAUCAACACAUUUGUGAAGGAAUUUUUACUCCCCAAAAGAGCGCCCCCCCAUGGCAGGAGAAAAAAGUCCAUUUUUUCUUGUCCCCUAAGGUGAAAAUACACAUUGUUGAGUGUAACACCUGUACGCUUUGGCAAAAUGACACCAAAAUUGAGACACACAUGUAUCUCAAUAAGAUCUACAAAAAAGUCAAUGCGCACGUAUCUGUCAAAUGUACGGUUAAAGGGUUAUUCCGCAUUUUUUGCCGAUCCGCACACAUUGGAAUUUCGCUAACUCCUCCGAAGGCUUUCGUUCCACCGGCACCACAUUUUCUCAGGCCAAUCUACACCCCAUGGCCAUUAAAAGUUAUUCAAAUCAUGACGCUGCACCCCACGGUUUAGGUUCUAGGGGGCGCCAAAGAUAACCGUAAAAUCCACAUAUUUAAAAGUCUUAUAACUUUUUAUUUUUGUCCCCACUGGCCUCCAAGUUUUCUAGGAUGAUGCAAUGUCCAGCCAUCAACACAUUUGUGAAGGAAUUUUUACUCGCCAAAAGAGCGCCCCCCAUGGCAGGAGAAAAAAGUCCAUUUUUUCUUGUCCACUAAGGUGAAAAUACACAUUGUUGAGUGCUACGCCUGUAUGUUUUGUCGUAUUGACACAAAAUUUUACAUACACGUGUCUUUCAAUAAGAUCUUGGAAAAAGUCAAUGGCCACGUAUCUGUAAAAUGUACGGUUAAAGGGUUAUUUCGCAUUUUUUGCAGAUUCGCACACAUUGGAAUUUCGCUAACUCCUCCGAAGGCUUUCGUUCCACCGGCACCACAUUUGCUCAGGCCAAUCUACACCCCAUGGCCAUUAAAAGUUAUUCAAAUCAUGACGCUGCACCCCACGGUUUAGGUUCUAGGGGGCGCCAAAGAUAACCCUAAAAUCCACAUAUUUAAAAGUCUUAUAACUUUUUAUUUUUGUCCUCACUGGCCUCCAUGUUUUCUAGGAUGAUGCAAUGUCCAGCCAUCAACACAUUUGUGAAGGAGUUUUUUCUCGUUAAAAGAGCGCCCCCCCAUGGCAGGAGAAUAAAGUCAAGUUUUUCCUGUUCAUCAUUCAAUGGCUCAAACGCACUGCUCUCUCGGCAAAAGCGAAAGGAGGAGCAACUUGCCAUUUGGAUAUAUCUUAGCUGUGUUUGUGCCCUCACUCAUGGUCCAGACUUUUUUCAAAUAGGACAUGGACUUUUUCUGCAGCGAGCGUUUUGGUAGAAACUGCGCCUCCCGUUCAUUUUAAUGGUAAAUGACCACAAACAAGUGCGCACACCAUCUUUGGACCUUGAGUGUGACGCGAUCGGGUGGGGGAGGCGGUCGUGCUGGGGGCGGCGUGACACGGCUCGGGCCCGCCAGUGCCCCAACGGGGCCCUAGUGUUAUUAUUAUUAUUAUUAUUUUUCCUCCGCUUUAAACUGGAAAAUGGCCCACUUCCCACUGGCGAAAACUCAGGAAAUUUGGCAGGACGACCGGGCCUGGUGAAAAAUUCGAUAUUCUGAAGUCGCCCAAACAAUAAAAUACAAAAUGGCUCCAUAGCGCCCCCUAAGGUGAAAAUUCACACUAUUGACUGUCACGCCUGUAGGCUUUGUCAUAUUGACACAAAAAUUGACACACACAUGUAUCUCAAUAAGAUCUACAAAAAAGUCAGUGCGGGCGUAUCUGUCAAAUGUACGGUUAAAGGGUUAUUUCGCAUUUUUUGCAGAUCCGCACACAUUGGAAUUUCGCUAACUCCUCCGAAGGCUUUCGGUCCACCGGCACCACAUUUGCUCAGGCCAAUCUACACUCCAUGGCCAUUCAAAGUUGUACAAAUCAUGAUGCUGCACCCCAUGGUUUAGGUUCUAGGGGACGCCAAAAAUAACCCUAAAAUCCACAUUCUUAAAAGUUUUAUAACUUUUUAUUUUUGCCCUCACUGGCCUCCAAGUUUUCUAGGAUGAUGCAAUGUCCAGCCAUCAACACAUUUGUGAAGGAAUUUUUACUCCCCAAAAGAGCGCCCCCCCAUGGCAGGACAAAAAAGUCAAUUUUUUCUUGUCCCCUAAGGUGAAAAUACACAUUGUUGAAUGUCACGCCUGUACGCUUUGUCAUAUUGACACAAAAUUUGACAAUCACGUGUAUCUCAAUAAGAUCUACGAAAAAGUCAAUGCGCGCGUAUCUGUAAAAUGUACGGUUAAAGGGCUAUUUCGCAUUUUUUGCCGAUUCGCACACAUUGGAAUGUGGCUAACUCCUCCUAAGGCUUUCGUCCCACUGACACCAAAUUUGCUCAGGCCAAUCUACACCCCAUGGCCAUUCAAAGUUGUAAAAAUCAUGACGCUGCACCCCAUGGUCUACGUUCUAGGGGGCGCCAAAGAGGACCCAAAUAUCCACAUUUUUAAAAGUCUUAUAACUUUUUAUUUUUGUCCUCACUGGCCUCCAAGUUUUCUAGGAUGAUGCAAUGUCCAGCCAUCAACACAUUUGUGAAGGAAUUUUUUCUCCCCAAAAGAGCGCCCCCCCAUGGCAGGAGAAAAAGUCAAGUUUUUCCUGCCCAUCGCUCAAUGGCUCAAACGCAUCGCUCUCUCGGCAAAACCGAAAGGAGGAGCAACUUGCCAUUUGGAUAUAUACUAGCUGUGUUUGUGCCCUCACUCAUGGUCCAGACUUUUUUCAAAAAGGACAUGGAGUUUGUCUGCAGCGAGCGUUUUGGUAGAAACUGCGCCUCCCAUUCAUUAUAAUGGUAAAUGACCACAGACAAGUGCGCACACCAUCUUUGGACCUUGAGUGUGACGCGAUCGGGAGGGGUAGGCGGUCGCGCUGGGGGCGGCGUGACACGGCUCGGGCCCGCCAGUGCCCCACCGGGGCCCUAGUUAUUAUUUUUCCUCCGCUUUAAACUGGAAAAUGGCCGACUUCCCACUGGCGAAAACUCAUGAAAUUUGGCAGGACGACCGGGCCUGGUGAAAAAUUUGAUAUUCCGCAGUCGCCCAAACAAGAAAAUGCAAAAUGGCUCCAUAGCGCCCCCUAAGGUGAAAAUUCACACUAUUGAAUGUCACGCCUGUACGCUUUGUCAAAAUGACACAAAAAUUGACACACACAUGUAUCUCAAUAAGAUCUACAAAAAAGUCAGUGCGGGCGUAUCUGUCAAAUGUACGGUUAAAGGGUUAUUUCGCAUUUUUUGCCGAUCCGCACACAUUGGAAUUUCGCUAACUCCUCCGAAGGCUUUCGUUCCACCGGCACCACAUUUGCUCAGGCCAAUCUACACCCCAUGGCCAUUAAAAGUUAUUCAAAUCAUGACGCUGCACCCCACGGUUUAGGUUCUAGGGGGCGCCAAAGAUAACCCUAAGAUCCACAUAUUUUAAAGUCUUAUAACUUUUUAUUUUUGUCCCCACUGGCCUCCAAGUUUUCUAGGAUGAUGCAAUGUCCAGCCAUCAACACAUUUGUGAAGGAAUUUUUACUCCCCAAAAGAGCGCCCCCCCAUGGCAGGAGAAAAAAGUCCAUUUUUUCUUGUCCCCUAAGGUGAAAAUACACAUUGUUGAGUGUAACACCUGUACGCUUUGGCAAAAUGACACCAAAAUUGACACACACAUGUAUCUCAAUAAGAUCUACAAAAAAGUCAAUGCGCGCGUAUCUGUCAAAUGUACGGUUAAAGGGUUAUUCCGCAUUUUUUGCCGAUCCGCACACAUUGGAAUUUCGUUAACUCCUCCGAAGGCUUUCGUUCCACCGGCACCACAUUUGCUCAGGCCAAUCUACACCCCAUGGCCAUUAAAAGUUAUUCAAAUCAUGACGCUGCACCCCACGGUUUAGGUUCUAGGGGGCGCCAAAGAUAACCGUAAAAUCCACAUAUUUAAAAGUCUUAUAACUUUUUAUUUUUGUCCCCACUGGCCUCCAAGUUUUCUAGGAUGAUGCAAUGUCCAGCCAUCAACACAUUUGUGAAGGAAUUUUUACUCGCCAAAAGAGUGCCCCCCCAUGGCAGGAGAAAAAAGUCAAUUUUUUCUUGUCCACUAAGGUGAAAAUACACAUUGUUGAGUGCUACGCCUGUAUGUUUUGUCGUAUUGACACAAAAAUUGACAAUCAUGUGUAUCUCAAUUAGAUCUACGAAAAAGUCAAAGAGCGCGUAUUUGUAUAAUGUACGGUUAAAGGGCUAUUUUGCAUUUUUUGCCGAUUCGCACACAUUGGAAUGUGGCUAUCUCCUCCUAAGGCUUUCGUCCCACCGAUACCAAAUUUGCUCAGGGCAAUCUACACCCCAUGCCCAUUCAAAGUUGUAAAAAUCAUGGCGCUGCACCCCACGGUUUACGUUCUAGGGGGCGCCAAAGAUGACCCAAAAAUCCACAUUCUUAAAAGUCAUUUUGGCCACUGCAGGAGUACAGAGUACUGCAGUUCUAGGGGGCGCCAAAGAUGACCCAAAAAUCCACAUUCUUAAAAGUCUUUUUGGCCACUGCAGGAGUACAGAGUACUGCAGGAUACACACACAUAUACACACACGCCAACAUACACACACACACACACACACACACACACACACACACACACACACACACUCAGAGUCUGUUUUUUAGCACCUGCAAAAACAUGCUGUUUACAUAUUUGACAAGAAUGCAGAGGCUUCCUUUUGCCCCUGAAAAAAAUCAAAUUUCAAACACAACUUGACUGUUCAUUUCUCCAAAAGACAACCAUGAAGCUCCAUCCAAACCUGAAGCAGAUAGUUGGUGCAUGUGUACAGUAACCUGAGGGGAGUGAGGUGACUAUUUCUGAGGAGAACAUGAGCAGUGAAGAUUCACCUUGGAGCUAGAACAGGGACGUGCACAUGAUUAUACAGGGGCAGGGGCUCAAGUUUUUUCCAGUCAUUUAUACAAUAUGGAAAUUAAUGUGAAAUUAAACCACAAAUAUGUGUGAUGAACUGUUUUUAAAACUUAAACUUCAAAUAAAAAUUGUAAACUUCAAAACAUAUGCAAAUUUUUAACAAAGAACAUAGUAAUUUACCUCUAUUUACAUCAAAAUGCAGGCAAUGGCCCAGGCGUUCUUUGUAAAAUUAUUUACAAAACACUGUAUAGUCUCACAAAUGUCACUUUUUAUUUAUGCCACUACAAAAAAACAUGAUGUAAAUGAUGCAUGAUGUAAAACAUGAUGUAAAAAACUUGUGUAGAUCCUCCUCUAUGUCAGUCCAUGUGUAAUUUUUCCAUAAUUCUUUGUUUUUUGCAGCAUUUUUGUUAGUGUAACUGCAGAUUGUGCUGACAGUGUCUAUGGCACACAAAAAAAAAAAAAUUAAAAUGCCUCAACAUGAACCCCUGGUGGUCUCUGAGGGUGAAACCUGCUAACUGCUGCAGCUCUGUCAGCUUCAGUCUCCCAUGCAGAGCUCUGAGCGCAUGUGUGGCUCUGCACCCUUAGCAGCGUUGCUAACUCCUCAGUAAGGAAAGCCUGCUUCAUGUCAGAGUCUCUAAACUCCAGAAGAAGUCGAUAAGUGAAAGCAACACGCACUGGCAGGAAGAACAGCAAACGCCGAUGAAGGAAAAGGGUCUUUGCAGUGAUGGGCGUUACCAGAGAGGGCGAUGGCCAGAGGACACAAAUGGGACGGGAAGGCAGCACGUUGGGGGGGGGGGAGGGACGCGACACGGCUCGGGCCCGCCAGUGCCCCAACGGGGUCCUAGUUAUUAUUUUUCCUCCGCUUUAAACUGGAAAAUGGCCGACUUCCCACUGGCGAAAACUCAUGAAAUUUGGCAGGACGACCGGGCCUGGUGAAAAAUUCGAUAUUCUGAAGUCGCCCAAACAAUAAAAUGCAAAAUGGCUCCAUAGCGCCCCCUAAGGCGAAAAUUCACACUAUUGACUGUCACGCCUGUACGCUUUGUCAUAUUGACACAAAAAUUGACACACACGUGUAUCUCAAUACGUUCUACGAAAAAGUCAGCGCGGGCGCAUCUGUGAAAUGUACAGUUAGAGGGUUAUUUCGCAUUUUUUGCCGAUCUGCACACAUUGGAAUUUCGCUAACUCCUCCGAAGGCAUUCGUUCCACCGGCACCACAUUUGCUCAGGCCAAUCUACACCCCAUGGCCAUUAAAAGUUGUACAAAUCAUGACGCUGCACCCCACAGUUUACGUUCUAGGGGGCGCCAAAGAUAACCCAAAAAUCCACAGUCUUAAAAGUCUUAUAACUUUUUAUUUUUGUCCUCACUGGCCUCCAAGUUCUCUAGGAUGAUGCAAUGUCCAGCCAUCAACACAUUUGUGAAGGAAUUUUUACUCCCCAAAAGAGCGCCCCCACAUGGCAGGAGAAAAAAGUCCAUUUUUUCUUGUCCCCUAAGGUGAAAAUACACAUUGUUGAGUGUCACGCCUAUACGCUUUGUCAUAUUGACCCAAAAUUUGACAAUCACGUGUAUCUCAAUAAGAUCUACGAAAAAGUCAAUGGGCACGUAUCUGUAAAAUGUAUGGUUAAAGGGCUAUUUCGCAUUUUUUGCAGAUUCGCACACAUUGGAAUGUGGCUAACUCCUCCUAAGGCUUUCUUCCCACCGACACCAAAUUUGCUCAAGCCGAUCUACAUCCCAUGGCCAUUCAAAGUUGUAAAAAUCAUGCCGCUGCACCCCAUGGUUUACGUUCUAGGGGGCGCCAAAGAUGACCCAAAUAUCCACAUUCUUAAAAGUCGUUUUGGCCACUGCAGGAGUACAGAGUACUGCAGGAUACACACACACAGACACACACAAACACAGACACACACACACACACACACACACACACACACACACACACACACACACACACACACACACACAGAGUCUGUUUUUUAGCACCUGCAAAAACAUGCUAUUUACAUAUUUGACAACAAUGCAGAGGCUCCUUUUGCCCCUGAAAAAAAUCAAAUUUCAAACACAACUUGACUGGUCAUUUCUCCAAAAGACAACCAUGAAGCUCCAUCCAAACCUGAAGCAGGCAGUUGGUGCAUGUGUACAGUUACCUGAGGGGAGUGAGGUGAGUGCUUCUGAGGAGAACAUGAGCAGUGAAGAUUCACCUUGGAGCGAGAACAGGGACGUGCACAUGAUUAUACAGGGGCAGGGGCUCAAGUUUUUUCCAGUCGUUUAUACAAUAUGGAAAUUAAUGUGAAAUUAAAAAACAAAGUAUUAAUAGAAAGGUAAUGACUGUCCUGUGUAGGUGACAGUGAUAUCCAAUAGGCUAGGCACUCACGAGGCUGGCUGUGGCAAGUGUAAGUGAAAGCAACACGCACUGGCAGGAAGAACAGCAAACGCCGAUGAAGGAAAAGGGUCUUUGCAGUGAUGGGCGUUACCAGAGAGGACGAUGGCCAGAGGACGCGAAUGGGACGGGGAGGCAGCGCAUUGGUGGGGGGGGGGGGGGCGCGACACAGCUCGGGCCCGCCAGUGCCCCAACGGGGCCCUAGUUUCUUUUUAGGGCCCGAGCGUAGCUGCUAAGCAGCUGCGAGAGCCCUCUUGUUCCUGAUGGAUUCUUCUUUCGUUAUUUUUCCUCCGCUUUAAACUGGAAAAUGGCCCACUUCCCACUGGCGAAAACUCAUGAAAUUUGGCAGGACGACCGGGCCUGGUGAAAAAUUUGAUAUUCUGAAGUCGUCCAAACAAAAAAAUGAAAAAUGGCUCCAUAGCGCCCCCUAUGGUGAAAACUCACCUGAUGCCUGUACGCUUUGUCAAAAUGACACAAAAUUUGACACACAUGUGUAUCUCAAUAAGAUCUACGAAAAAGUCAGUGCGGGCGUAUCUGCCAAAUGUACGGUUAAAGGGCUAUUUCGCUUUUUUUGCCGAUCCGCACACAUUGGAAUUUCGCUAACUCCUCCGAAGGCUUUCGUUCCACCGGCACCAAAUUUGCUCAGGCCAAUCUACACCCCAUGGCCAUUAAAAGUUGUAAAAAUCAUGAUGCUGCACCCCACGGUUUACUUUCUAGGGGGCGCCAAAGAUAACACAAAAUCCACAUUCUUAAAAGUCAUUUUGGCCACUGCAGGAGUACAGAGUACUGCAGUUCUAGGGGGCGCCAAAGAUGACCCAAAAAUCCACAUUCUUAAAAGUCUUUUUGGCCACUGCAGGAGUACAGAGUACUGCCGGACACACACACAUAUACACACACGCCAACACACACACACACACACACACACACACACAGACAGACACACUCAGAGUCUGUUUUUUAGCACCUGCAAAAACAUGCUGUUUACAUAUUUGACAAGAAUGCAGAGGCUUCCUUUUGCCCCUGAAAAAAAUCAAAUUUCAAACACAACUUGACUGUUCAUUUCUCCAAAAGACAACCAUGAAGCUCCAUCCAAACCUGAAGCAGAUAGUUGGUGCAUGUGUACAGUAACCUGAGGAGAGUGAGGUGACUACUUCUGAGGAGAACAUGAGCAGUGAAGAUUCACCUUGGAGCUAGAACAGGGACGUGCACAUGAUUAUACAGGGGCAGGGGCUCAAGUUUUUUCCAGUCAUUUAUACAAUAUGGAAAUUAAUGUGAAAUUAAACCACAAAUAUGUGUGAUGAACUGUUUUUAAAACUUAAACUUCAAAUAAAAAUUGUAAACUUCAAAACAUAUGCAAAUUUUUAACAAAGAACAUAGUAAUUUACCUCUAUUUACAUCAAAAUGCAGGCAAUGGCCCAGGCGUUCUUUGUAAAAUUAUUUACAAAACACUGUAUAGUCUCACAAAUGUCACUUUUUAUUUAUGCCACUACAAAAAAACAUGAUGUAAAUGAUGCAUGAUGUAAAAAACUUGUGUAGAUCCUCCUCUAUGUCAGUCCAUGUGUAAUUUUUCCAUAAUUCUUUGUUUUUUGCAGCAUUUUUGUUAGUGUAACUGCAGAUUGUGCUGACAGUGUCUAUGGCAAAAAAAAAAAAAAACUGAAAAUGCCUCAACAUGAACUCCUGGUGGUCUCUGAGGGUGAAACCUGCUAACUGCUGCAGCUCUCUCAGCUCUAGUCUCCCAUGCAGAGCUCGGAGCGCAUGUGUGGCUCUGCACCCUUAGCAGCGUUGCUAACUCCUCAGUAAGGAAAGCCUGCUUCAUGUCAGAGUCUCUAAACUCCAGAGGAAGUCGAUAAAAUUCCCUUUCUUUCUAAAAAAAGUCGUUAGGGGGUCUGAAAAGUCAUUGAAUCUAACAACAAAGUCGCUAGGUUUGCAACUACGUUUCCCAGACUGCAUCCCUGCUGAGAGUUCCUCCCUCCCUUCUCAUAUUGCAGGAAGAACGUAAGCGCCCGCCCCUUGUCAAUCAGUCACCAUAUAAUUUUGGAUUGGUUGUUGUGGUGAAGUUUUCCACCAAUAGGAGAGAUGUUGUGGUGUGUUUUUUUUUCUUUUGGCAUGCCUUUUCCGCCUGUAAGAGCUGUCGCUAAUGUCUGCAUGCUAUGUUUUCCUGUCUCAUACAGCGUGAUCGAGCGCCGAACGUGAUCAAAAUAAGCAGAAAAAAAGUAUCGCGGACAUAAUUUAUCAUAACUCUGGUUUUAUUUGGCCUAUCAACACAAUUUAAAAACUGGUAUAUAGUUUGAGGUCCUCACUUUUGAGAUAAGUUGAAACGGAGGGUGAACGAGGCUCCGUCUUGCAGCUACAUCCGGUUAAAUAUGUCAUGUGACUUGAACGCUGGGGAGCGUCAAUCGACUGCAGAGCCAGCAGACAAAGUAGUUAUGCCACUGAGAGGCACACAUUUGUCAUAUGCUAUAAUCCUAACAUAUUUUAAUGCUUUUUCUAUUUAAACCUAAUGGAUCUAAGGUUUGACCUUCAAAAUUUAGGAAGAAUAUUUUUUUGCAGUAAUGACCCCCUUAAACAACCAGAGGUCCUUUCCUAAAGUUUAUGGAAAUUUUAGUGAAGGCCUUGGUUUCUUUCCUUGCAAAAUGUAUAGAAAUAAUAAAGCUAAAUACCAUAAAAUGGUCUUGGCGUAUUAGCAGUGAUAUAAAAUAGUGGUUUGAAUAUGAAUGAACAACAAAAAAAAACAUCAACAGAGCCUUUUUGAGUUGGGAUUCUUUCAUUAUCACACAAAAACAGACAUAGACAGACAUCUAAAGGGUAAGGGAAUGAUCAGCCCUCCUAACUCUCAGAUGAAUCUUCAAAAUUCACCGCAGAAAUAUGCUUAUUAUUCUUCUCAGAGUACUGCAAAAUAUAUACACACACACAGACACAGACACAGACACAGACACACACACACACACACACACACACACACACACACACACACACACACAGACAGACACACUCAGAGUCUGUUUUUUAGCACCUGCAAAAACAUGCUAUUUACAUAUUUGACAAGAAUGCAGAGGCUCCUUUUGCCCCUGAAAAAAAUCAAAUUUCAAACACAACUUGACUGCUCAUUUCUCCAAAAGACAACCAUGAAGCUCCAUCCAAACCUGAAGCAGGCAGUUGGUGCAUGUGUACAGUAACCUGAGGGGAGUGAGGUGACUGCUUCUGAGGAGAACAUGAGCAGUGAAGAUUCACCUUGGAGCUAGAACAGGGACGUGCACAUGAUUAUACAGGGGCAGGGGCUCAAGUUUUUUCCAGUCAUUUAUACAAUAUGGAAAUUAAUGUGAAAUUAAAAAACAAAGUAUUAAUAGAAAGGUAAUGACUGUCCUGUGUAGAUGACAGUGAUAUCCAAUAGGCUAGGCACUCACGAGGCUGGCUGUGGCAAGUGUAAGUGAAAGCAACACGCACUGGCAGGAAGAACAGCAAACGCCGAUGAAGGAAAAGGGUCUUUGCAGUGAUGGGCGUUACCAGAGAGGGCGAUGGCCAGAGGACACGAAUGGGACGGGGAGGCAGCGCGUUGGGGGGAGGCAGCGCAUUGGGGGGGGGGCGGCGCGACACGGCUCGGGCCCGCCAGUGCCCCAACGGGGCCCUAGUUUCUUUUUCCUCCCCUUUAAACUGGAAAAUGGCCCACUUCCCACUGGCGAAAACUCAUGAAAUUUGGCAGGACGACCGGGCCUGGUGAAAAAUUUGAUAUUCUGAAGUCGCCCAAACAAGAAAAUGCAAAAUGGCUCCAUAGCGCCCCCUAAGGUGAAAAUUCACACUAUUGACUGUCACGCCUGUACGCUUUGUCAAAAUGACACAAAAAUUGACACACACAUGUAUCUCAAUAAGAUCUACAAAAAAGUCAGUGCGGGCGUAUCUGUCAAAUGUACGGUUAAAGGGUUAUUUCGCAUUUUUUGCUGAUCCGCACACAUUGGAAUUUCGCUAACUCCUCCUAAGGCUUUCGUUCCACCAGCACCACAUUUGCUCAGGCCAAUCUACACCCCAUGGCCAUUAAAAGUUAUUCAAAUCAUGACGCUGCACCCCAGGUUUAGGUUCUAGGGGGCGCCAAAGAUAACCCUAAAAUCCACAUAUUUCAAAGUCUUAUAACUUUUUAUUUUUGCCCUCACUAGCCUCCAAUUUUUCUAGGAUGAUGCGAUGUCCAGCCAUCAACACAUUUGUGAAGGAAUUUUUACUCCCCAAAAGAGCGCCCCCCCAUGGCAGGAGAAAAAAGUCAAUUUUUUCUUGUCCCCUAAGGUGAAAAUACACAUUGUAGAGUGUCACGCCUGUACGCUUUGUCAAAAUGACACAAAAAUUGACACACACAUGUGUAUUUCAAUAAGAUCUUCGAAAAAGUCAAUGGCCACGUAUCUGUAAAAUGUACAGUUAAAGGGUUAUUUCGCAUUUUUUGCAGAUCCGCACACAUUGGAAUUUCGCUAACUCCUCCGAAGGCUUUCGUUCCACCGGCACCACAUUUGCUCAGGCCAAUCUACACUCCAUGGCCAUUCAAAGUUGUAAAAAUCAUGACGCUGCACCCCACGGUCUACGUUCUAGGGGGCGCCAAAGAGGACCCAAAUAUCCACAUUUUUAAAAGUCUUAUAACUUUUUAUUUUUGUCCUCACUGGCCUCCAAGUUUUCUAGGAUGAUGCAAUGUCCAGCCAUCAACACAUUUGUGAAGGAAUUUUUACUCCCCAAAAGAGCGCCCCCCCAUGGCAGGAGAAAAAAGUCCAUUUUUUCUUGUCCCCUAAGGUGAAAAUACACAUUGUUGAGUGUCAUGCCUGUACGCUUUGUCAAAAUGACACAAAAUUCGACACACAUGUGUAUCUCAAUAAGAUCUACGAAAAAGUAAAUGCAGGCGUAUCUGUCAGAUGUACGGUUAAAGGGCUAUUUCGCAUUUUUUGCCGAUUCGCACACAUUGGAAUGUAGCUAACUCCUCCUAAGGCUUUCGCUCCACCGGCACCAAAUUUGCUCAGGACAAUCUACACCCCAUGGCCAUUCAAAGUUGUAAAAAUCAUGACGCUGCACCCCACGGUUUAAGUUCUAGGGGGCGCCAAAGAUGACCCAAAUAUCCAUAUUCUUAAAAGUGUUAUAACAUUUUAUUUUUGUCCUCACUGGCCUCCAUGUUUUCUAGGAUGAUGCAAUGUCCAGCCAUCAACACAUUUGUGAAGGAGUUUUUUCUUGUUAAAAGAGCGCCCCACCAUGGCAGGAGAAUAAAGUCAAGUUUUUCCUGUUCAUCGUUCAAUGGCUCAAACGCAUCGCUCUCUCGGCAAAAGCGAAAGGAGGAGCAACUUGCCAUUUGGAUAUAUCUUAGCUGUGUUUGUGCCCUCACUCAUGGUCCAGACUUUUUUCAAAUAGGACAUGGAGUUUUUCUGCAGCGAGCGUUUUGGUAGAAACUGCGCCUCCCAUUCAUUAUAAUGGUAAAUGACCACAGACAAGUGCGCACACCAUCUUUGGACCUUGAGUGUGACGCGAUUGGGUGGGGGAGGCGGUCGCGCUGGGGGCGGCGCGACACGGCUCGGGCCCGCCAGUGCCCCACCGGGGCCCUAGUUAGGGCCCGAGCCAGCUGCAGAGCAGCCGGGCGUAGAGCCCUAUUAUUCCUGUAGUGGUUUUUCUUAGCGCCCCCUAAGGUGAAAAUUCACACUAUUGACUGUCACGCCUGUACGCUUUGUCAAAAUGACACAAAAAUUGACACACACAUGUAUCUCAAUAAGAUCUACAAAAAAGUCAGUGCGGGCGUAUCUGUCAAAUGUACAGUUAAAGGGUUAUUUCGCUUUUUUUGCCGAUCCGCACACAUUGGAAUUUCGCUAACUCCUCCGAAGGCUUUCGUUCCACCGGCACCACAUUUGCUCAGGCCAAUCUACACCCCAUGGCCAUUAAAAGUUAUUCAAAUCAUGACGCUGCACCCCACGGUUUAGGUUCUAGGGGGCGCCAAAGAUAACCCUAAGAUCCACAUAUUUAAAAGUCUUAUAACUUUUUAUUUUUGUCCCCACUGGCCUCCAAGUUUUCUAGGAUGAUGCAAUGUCCAGCCAUCAACACAUUUGUGAAGGAAUUUUUACUCCCCAAAAGAGCGCCCCACCAUGGCAGGAGAAAAAAGUCCAUUUUUUCUUGUCCCCUAAGGUGAAAAUACACAUUGUUGAGUGUAACACCUGUACGCUUUGGCAAAAUGACACCAAAAUUGACACACAUAUGUAUCUCAAUAAGAUCUACAAAAAAGUCAAUGCGCGCGUGUCUGUCAAAUGUACGGUUAAAGGGUUAUUCCGCAUUUUUUGCCGAUCCGCACACAUUGGAAUUUCGCUAACUCCUCCGAAGGCUUUCGUUCCACCGGCACCACAUUUGCUCAGGCCAAUCUACACCCCAUGGCCAUUAAAAGUUAUUCAAAUCAUGACGCUGCACCCCACGGUUUAGGUUCUAGGGGGCGCCAAAGAUAACCCUAAAAUCCACAUAUUUAAAAGUCUUAUAACUUUUUAUUUUUGUCCUCACUGGCCUCCAUGUUUUCUAGGAUGAUGCAAUGUCCAGCCAUCAACACAUUUGUGAAGGAGUUUUUUCUCGUUAAAAGAGCGCCCCCCCAUGGCAGGAGAAUAAAGUCAAGUUUUUCCUGUUCAUCAUUCAAUGGCUCAAACGCACUGCUCUCUCGGCAAAAGCGAAAGGAGGAGCAACUUGCCAUUUGGAUAUAUCUUAGCUGUGUUUGUGACCUCACUCAUGGUCCAGACUUUUUUCAAAUAGGACAUGGAGUUUUUCUGCAGCGAGCGUUUUGGUAGAAACUGCGCCUCCCGUUCAUUAUAAUGGUAAAUGACCACAAACAAGUGCGCACACCAUCUUUGAACCUUGAGUGUGACGCGAUCGGGUGGGGGAGGCGGUCGCGCUGGGGGCGGCAUGACACGGCUCGGGCCCGCCAGUGCCCCAACGGGGCCCUAGUUAGGGCCCGAGCGUAGCUGCUAAGCAGCUGCGAGAGCCCUAUUAUUCCCCAAGUGGUUUUUCUUUGUUUGUUUCUUUCUUUCUUUCUUUCUUUAGGGCCCGAGCGUAGCUGCUAAGCAGCUGCGAGAGCCCUAUUAUUCCCCAAGUGGUUUUUCUUUGUUUCUUUCUUUCUUUCUUCUUUUUCCUCCCCUUUGAACUGGAAAAUGGCCCACUUCCCAAUGGCGAAAACUCAUGAAAUUUGGCAGGACGACCGGGCCUGGUGAAAAAUUCGAUAUUCUGAAGUCGCCCAAACAAUAAAAUGCAAAAUGGCUCAAUAGCGCCCCCUAAGGUGGAAAUUCACACUAUUGACUGUCACGCCUGUACGCUUUGUCAUAUUGACACAAAAAUUGACACACAUAUGUAUCUCAAUAAGAUCUACAAAAAAGUCAGUGCGGCCGUAUCUGUCAAAAUUACGGUUAAAGGGUUAUUUGGCAUUUUUUGCCGAUCCGCACACAUUGGAAUUUCGCUAACUUCUCCGAAGGCUUUCGUUCCACCGGCACCACAUUUGCUCAGGCCAAUCUAAACCCCGUGGCCAUUAAAAGUUAUCAAAAUCAUGACGCUGCACCACAAGGUUUAGGUUCUAGGGGGCGCCAAAGAUAACACUAAAAUCCACAUAUUUAAAAGUCUUAUAACUUUUUAUUUUUGUCCUCACUGGCCUCCAAGUUUUCUAGGAUGAUGCAAUGUCCAGCCAUCAACACAUUUGUGAAGGAAUUUUUACUCCCCAAAAGAGCGCCCCCCCAUGGCAGGAGAAAAAAGUCCAUUUUUUCUUGUCCCCUAAGGUGAAAAUACACAUUGUUGAGUGUCACGCCUAUACGCUUUGUCAAAAUGACACAAAAAUUGACACACACGUAACUCAAUAAGAUCUACGAAAAAGUCAAUGCGCGCGUAUCUGUCAAAUGUACGGUUAAAGGGUUAUUCCGCAUUUUUUGCCGAUCCGCACACAUUGGAAUGUGGCUAACUCCUCCUAAGGCUUUCGUUCCACCGGCACCACAUUUGCUCAGGCCAAUCUACACCCCAUGGCCAUUAGAAGUUAUCAAAAUCAUGACGCUGCACCCCAAGGUUUAGGUUCUAGGGGGCGCCAAAGAUAACACUAAAAUCCACAUAUUUAAAAGUCUUAUAACUUUUUAUUUUUGUCCUCACUGGCCUCCAAGUUUUCUAGGAUGAUGCAAUGUCCAGCCAUCAACACAUCUGUGAAGGAAUUUUUACUCGCCAAAAGAGCGCCCCCCCCCCAUGGCAGGAGAAAAAAGUCCAUUUUUUCUUGUCCCCUAAGGUGAAAAUACACAUUGUUGAGUGUCACGCCUGUACGCUUUGGCAAAAUGACACAAAAAUUGACACACACAUGUAUCUCAAUAAGAUCUACAAAAAAGUCCACGCGCGCGUAUCUGUCAAAUGUACGGUUAAAGGGUUAUUCCGCAUUUUUUGCCGAUACGCACACAUUGGAAUUUCGCUAACUCCUCCGAAGGCUUUCGUUCCACCGGCACCACAUUUGCUCAGGCCAAUCUACACCCCAUGGCCAUUAAAAGUUAUUCAAAUCAUGAUGCUGCACCCCAUGGUUUAGGUUCUAGGGGGCGCCAAAAAUAACCCAAAAAUCCACAUUCUUAAAUGUUUUAUAACUUUUUUUUUUUGUCCUCACUGGCCUCCAAGUUUUCUAGGAUGAUGCAAUGUCCAGCCAUCAACACAUUUGUGAAGGAAUUUUUACUCCCCAAAAGAGCGCCCCCCCAUGGUAGGAGAAAAAAGUCAAUUUUUUCUUGUCCCCUUACAUGAAAAUACACAUUGUUGAGUGUCACGCCUGAACGCUAUGUCAUAUUGACACAAAAAUUGACAAUCAUGUGUAUCUCAAUUAGAUCUACGAAAAAGUCAAUGCGCGUAUCUGUAUAAUGUACGGUUAAAGGGCUAUUUUGCAUUUUUUGCCGAUUCGCACACAUUGGAAUGUGGCUAACUCCUCCUAAAUCUUUUGUCCCAUCGGCUUCAAAUUUGCUCAGGUCAAUCUACACCCCAUGGCCAUUCAAAGUUGUACAAAUCAUGACGCUGCACCCCACAGUUUACGUUCUAGGGGGCGCCAAAGAGGACCCAAAUAUCCACAUUUUUAAAAGUCUUAUAACUUUUUAUUUUUGUCCUCACUGGCCUCCAAGUUUUCUAGGAUGAUGCAAUGUCCAGCCAUCAACACAUUUGUGAAGGAAUUUUUUCUCCCCAAAAGAGCGCCCCCCCAUGGCAGGAGAAAAAGUCAAGUUUUUCCUGCCCAUCGCUCAAUGGCUCAAACGCAUCGCUCUCUCGGCAAAACCGAAAGGAGGAGCAACUUGCCAUUUGGAUAUAUACUAGCUGUGUUUGUGCCCUCACUCAUGGUCCAGACUUUUUUCAAAAAGGACAUGGAGUUUGUCUGCAGCGAGCGUUUUGGUAGAAACUGCGCCUCCCAUUCAUUAUAAUGGUAAAUGACCACAGACAAGUGCGCACACCAUCUUUGGACCUUGAGUGUGACGCGAUCGGGAGGGGUAGGCGGUCGCGCUGGGGGCGGCGCGACACGGCUCGGGCCCGCCAGUGCCCCAACGGGGCCCUAGUUCUUUCUUUCUUCUUUUUCCUCCCCUUUGAACUGGAAAAUGGCCCACUUCCCACUGGCGAAAACUCAUGAAAUUUGGCAGGACGACCGGGCCUGGUGAAAAAUUCGAUAUUCUGAAGUCGCCCAAACAAGAAAAUGCAAAAUGGCUCCAUAGCGCCCCCUAAGGUGGAAAUUCACACUAUUGACUGUCACGCCUGUACGCUUUGUCAUAUUGACACAAAAAUUGACACACAUAUGUAUCUCAAUAAGAUCUACAAAAAAGUCAGUGCGGCCGUAUCUGUCAAAAUUACGGUUAAAGGGUUAUUUCGCAUUUUUUUCCGAUCCGCACACAUUGGAAUUUCGCUAACUCCUCCGAAGGCUUUCGUUCCACCGGCACCACAUUUGCUCAGGCCAAUCUACACCCCGUGGCCAUUAAAAGUUAUUCAAAUCAUGACGCUGCACCCCAAGGUUUAGGUUCAAGGGGGCGCCAAAGAUAACACUAAAAUCCACAUAUUUAAAAGUCUUAUAACUUUUUAUUUUUGUCCUCACUGGCCUCCAAGUUUUCUAGGAUGAUGCAAUGUCCAGCCAUCAACACAUUUGUGAAGGAAUUUUUACUCCCCAAAAGAGCGCCCCCCAUGGCAGGAGAAAAAAGUCCAUUUUUUCUUGUCCCCUAAGGUGAAAAUACACAUUGUUGAGUGUAACACCUGUACGCUUUGGCAAAAUGACACAAAAAUUGACACACACAUGUAUCUCAAUAAGAUCUACGAAAAAGUCAAUGCGCGCGUAUCUGUCAAAUGUACGGUUAAAGGGUUAUUCCGCAUUUUUUGCCGAUCCGCACACAUUGGAAUUUCGCUAACUCCUCCGAAGGCUUUCGUUCCACCGGCACCACAUUUGCUCAGGCCAAUCUACACCCCAUGGCCAUUAAAAGUUAUUCAAAUCAUGACGCUGCACCCCACGGUUUAGGUUCUAGGGGGCGCCAAAGAUAACCGUAAAAUCCACAUAUUUAAAAGUCUUAUAACUUUUUAUUUUUGUCCCCACUGGCCUCCAAGUUUUCUAGGAUGAUGCAAUGUCCAGCCAUCAACACAUUUGUGAAGGAAUUUUUACUCGCCAAAAGAGCGCCCCCCCAUGGCAGGAGAAAAAAGUCCAUUUUUUCUUGUCCACUAAGGUGAAAAUACACAUUAUUGAGUGCUACGCCUGUAUGUUUUGUCGUAUUGACACAAAAUUUUACAUACACGUGUAUUUCAAUAAGAUCUUCGAAAAAGUCAAUGGCCACGUAUCUGUAAAAUGUACGGUUAAAGGGUUAUUUCGCAUUUUUUGCAGAUUCGCACACAUUGGAAUUUCGCUAAAUCCUCCGAAGGCUUUCGUUCCACCGGCACCACAUUUGCUCAGGCCAAUCUACACCCCAUGGCCAUUAAAAGUUAUUCAAAUCAUGACGCUGCACCCCACGGUUUAGGUUCUAGGGGGCGCCAAAGAUAACCCUAAAAUCCACAUAUUUAAAAGUCUUAUAACUUUUUAUUUUUGUCCUCACUGGCCUCCAUGUUUUCUAGGAUGAUGCAAUGUCCAGCCAUCAACACAUUUGUGAAGGAGUUUUUUCUCGUUAAAAGAGCACCCCCCCAUGGCAGGAGAAUAAAAUCAAGUUUUUCCUGUUCAUCAUUCAAUGGCUCAAACGCACUGCUCCCUCGGCAAAAGCGAAAGGAGGAGCAACUUGCCAUUUGGAUAUAUCUUAGCUCUGUUUGUGCCCUCACUCAUGGUCCAGACUUUUUUCAAAUAGGACAUGGAGUUUUUCUGCAGCGAGCGUUUUGGUAGUAACUGCGCCUCCCAUUCAUUAUAAUGGUAAAUGACCACAAACAAGUGCGCACACCAUCUUUGGACCUUGAGUGUGACGCGAUCGGGUGGGGGAGGCGGUCGCGCUGAGGGCGGCGUGACAUGGCUCGGGCCCGCCAGUGCCCCAACGGGGCCCUAGUUAUUUUUGUCCCCACUGGCCUCCAAGUUUUCUAGGAUGAUGCAAUGUCCAGCCAUCAACACAUUUGUGAAGGAAUUUUUACUCCCCAAAAGAGCGCCCCACCAUGGCAGGAGAAAAAAGUCCAUUUUUUCUUGUCCCCUAAGGUGAAAAUACACAUUGUUGAGUGUAACACCUGUACGCUUUGGCAAAAUGACACCAAAAUUGACACACACAUGUAUCUCAAUAAGAUCUACAAAAAAGUCAAUGCGCGCGUAUCUGUCAAAUGUACGGUUAAAGGGUUAUUCCGCAUUUUUUGCCGAUCCGCACACAUUGGAAUUUCGCUAACUCCUCCGAAGGCUUUCGUUCCACCGGCACCACAUUUGCUCAGGCCAAUCUACACCCCAUGGCCAUUAAAAGUUAUUCAAAUCAUGACGCUGCACCCCACGGUUUAGGUUCUAGGGGGCGCCAAAGAUAACCCUAAAAUCCACAUAUUUAAAAGUCUUAUAACUUUUUAUUUUUGUCCUCACUGGCCUCCAUGUUUUCUAGGAUGAUGCAAUGUCCAGCCAUCAACACAUUUGUGAAGGAGUUUUUUCUCGUUAAAAGAGCGCCCCCCCAUGGCAGGAGAAUAAAGUCAAGUUUUUCCUGUUCAUCAUUCAAUGGCUCAAACGCACUGCUCUCUCGGCAAAAGCGAAAGGAGGAGCAACUUGCCAUUUGGAUAUAUCUUAGCUGUGUUUGUGACCUCACUCAUGGUCCAGACUUUUUUCAAAUAGGACAUGGAGUUUUUCUGCAGCGAGCGUUUUGGUAGAAACUGCGCCUCCCGUUCAUUAUAAUGGUAAAUGACCACAAACAAGUGCGCACACCAUCUUUGAACCUUGAGUGUGACGCGAUCGGGUGGGGGAGGCGGUCGCGCUGGGGGCGGCGUGACACGGCUCGGGCCCGCCAGUGCCCCAACGGGGCCCUAGUUAGGGCCCGAGCGUAGCUGCUAAGCAGCUGCGAGAGCCCUAUUAUUCCCCAAGUGGUUUUUUAGGGCCCGAGCCAGCUGCAGAGCAGCCGGGCGUAGGCCCUAUUAUUCCCCAAGUGGUUUUUAGGGCCCGAGCCAGCUGCAGAGCAGCCGGGCGUAGGCCCUAUUAUUCCCCAAGUGGUUUUUCUUUGUUUCUUUCUUUCUUUCUUUCUUUCUUCUUUUUCCUCCCCUUUGAACUGGAAAAUGGCCCACUUCCCACUGGCGAAAACUCAUGAAAUUUGGCAGGACGACCGGGCCUGGUGAAAAAUUCGAUAUUCUGAAGUCGCCCAAACAAUAAAAUGCAAAAUGGCUCCAUAGCGCCCCCUAAGGUGGAAAUUCACACUAUUGACUGUCACGCCUGUACGCUUUGUCAUAUUGACACAAAAAUUGACACACAUAUGUAUCUCAAUAAGAUCUACAAAAAAGUCAGUGCGGCCGUAUCUGUCAAAAUUACGGUUAAAGGGUUAUUUCGCAUUUUUUGCCGAUCCGCACACAUUGGAAUUUCGCUAACUCCUCCGAAGGCUUUCGUUCCACCGGCACCACAUUUGCUCAGGCCAAUCUACACCCCGUGGCCAUUAAAAGUUAUCAAAAUCAUGACGCUGCACCCCAAGGUUUAGGUUCUAGGGGGCGCCAAAGAUAACACUAAAAUCCACAUAUUUAAAAGUCUUAUAACUUUUUAUUUUUGUCCUCACUGGCCUCCAAGUUUUCUAGGAUGAUGCAAUGUCCAGCCAUCAACACAUUUGUGAAGGAAUUUUUACUCCCCAAAAGAGCGCCCCCCCCAUGGCAGGAGAAAAAAGUCCAUUUUUUCUUGUCCCCUAAGGUGAAAAUACACAUUGUUGAGUGUCACGCCUAUACGCUUUGUCAAAAUGACACAAAAAUUGACACACACAUGUAACUCAAUAAGAUCUACGAAAAAGUCAAUGCGCGCGUAUCUGUCAAAUGUACGGUUAAAGGGUUAUUCCGCAUUUUUUGCCGAUCCGCACACAUUGGAAUUUCGCUAACUCCUCCGAAGGCUUUCUGUCCACCGGCACCACAUUUGCUCAGGCCAAUCUACACCCCAUGGCCAUUAAAAGUUAUUCAAAUCAUGACGCUGCACCCCACGGUUUAGGUUCUAGGGGGCGCCAAAGACAACCCUAAAAUCCACAUAUUUAAAAGUCUUAUAACUUUUUAUUUUUGUCCUCACUGGCCUCCAAGUUUUCUAGGAUGAUGCAAUGUCCAGCCAUCAACACAUUUGUGAAGGAAUUUUUACUCCCCAAAAGAGCGCCCCCCAUGGCAGGAGAAAAAAGUCCAUUUUUUCUUGUCCCCUAAGGUGAAAAUACAUAUUGUUGAGAUUCACGCCUAUACGCUUUGUCAUAUUGACACAAAAUUUGACAAUCACGUGCCUUGCCUGGUAUCAUUUUUUUUCAGCACAACCUCACCUGUGCGAAUUUACAGUUAUUUUAUCAUGUUGACAUACUGAAUUUACACAAUGGACCCAAAUUCACACACAAAACAUAAAAUCCGAGUGGAAAAAAGUAACAUUUUUACUGUGAAAACCACAAAUAUGUGUGAUGAACUGUUUUUAAAACUUAAACUUCAAAUAAAAAUUGUAAACUUCAAAACAUAUGCAAAUUUUUAACAAAGAACAUAGUGAUUUACCUCUAUUUACAUCAAAAUGCAGGCAAUGGCCCAGGCGUUCUUUGUAAAAUUAUUUACAAAACACUGUAUAGUCUCACAAAUGUCACUUUUUAUUUAUGCCACUACAAAAAAACAUGAUGUAAAUGAUGCAUGAUGUAAAACAUGAUGUAAAAAACUUGUGUAGAUCCUCCUCUAUGUCAGUCCAUGUGUAAUUUUUCCAUAAUUCUUUGUUUUUUGCAGCAUUUUUGUUAGUGUAACUGCAGAUUGUGCUGACAGUGUCUAUGGCACAAAAAAAAAAAUAAUUAAAAUGCCUCAACAUGAACCCCUGGUGGUCUCUGAGGGUGAAACCUGCUAACUGCUGCAGCUCUGUCAGCUUCAGUCUCCCAUGCAGAGCUCUGAGCGCAUGUGUGGCUCUGCACCCUUAGCAGCGUUGCUAACUCCUCAGUAAGGAAAGCCUGCUUCAUGUCAGAGUCUCUAAACUCCAGAAGAAGUCGAUAAAAGUCCCUUUCUUUCUAAAAAAAAGUCGUUAGGGGGUCUGAAAAGUCAUUGAAUCUAACAACAAAGUCGUUAGGUUUGCAACUACGUGUCCCAGACUGCAUCCCUGCUGAGAGUCCCUCCCUCCCUUCUCAUGUUGCAGGAAGAACGUAAGCGAAUGAUAUCGACAGUGAUAUCGAAUAGGCUAGGCACUCACGAGGCUGGCUGUGGCAAGUGUAAGUGAAAGCAACACGCACUGGCAGGAAGAACAGCAAACGCCGAUGAAGGAAAAGGGUCUUUGCAGUGAUGGGCGUUACCAGAGAGGGCGAUGGCCAGAGGACACAAAUGGGACGGGGAGGCAGCACGUUGGGGGGGGGGCGACACGGCUCGGGCCCGCCAGUGCCCCAACGGGGUCCUAGUUAGGGCCCGAGCGUAGCUGCUAAGCAGCUGCGAGAGCCCUAUUAUUCCCCAAGGGGUUUUUCUUUGUUUCUUUCUUUCUUUCUUUCUUCUUUUUCCUCCCCUUUGAACUGGAAAAUGGCCCACUUCCCACUGGCGAAAACUCAGGAAAUUUGGCAGGACGACCGGGCCUGGUGAAAAAUUCGAUAUUCCGAAGUCGCCCAAACAAGAAAAUGCAAAAUGGCUCCAUAGCGCCCCCUAAGGUGAAAAUUCACACUAUUGACUGUCACGCCUGUACGCUUUGUCAAAAUGACACAAAAAUUGACACACACAUGUAUCUCAAUAAGAUCUACAAAAAAGUCAGUGCGGGCGUAUCUGUCAAAUGUACGGUUAAAGGGUUAUUUCGCAUUUUUUGCCGAUCCGCACACAUUGGAAUUUCGCUAACUCCUCCGAAGGCUUUCGUUCCACCGGCACCACAUUUGCUCAGGCCAAUCUACACCCCAUGGCCAUUAAAAGUUAUUCAAAUCAUGACGCUGCACCCCACGGUUUAGGUUCUAGGGGGCGCCAAAGAUAACCCUAAAAUCCACAUUUUUAAAAGUCUUAUAACUUUUUAUUUUUGCCCUCACUGGCCUCCAAGUUUUCUAGGAUGAUGCAAUGUCCAGCCAUCAACACAUUUGUGAAGGAAUUUUUACUCCCCAAAAGAGCGCCCCCCCAUGGCAGGAGAAAAAAGUCCAUUUUUUCUUGUCCCCUAAGGUGAAAAUACACAUUGUUGAGUGUCACGCCUGUACGCUUUGUCAAAAUGACACAAAAAUUGACACACACAUGUAUCUCAAUAAGAUCUACAAAAAAGUCCAUGCGCGCGUAUCUGUCUAAUGUACGGUUAAAGGGUUAUUCCGCAUUUUUUGCCGAUUCGCACACAUUGGAAUUUAGCUAACUCCUCCGAAGGCUUUCGUUCCACCGGCACCACAUUUGCUCAGGCCAAAUUACACCCCAUGGCCAUUAAAAGUUAUUCAAAUCAUGACGCUGCACCCUACGGUUUACGUUCUAGGGGGCGCCAAAGAUAACCCAAAAAUCCACAUUUUUAAAAGUCUUAUAACUUUUUAUUUUUGUCCUCACUGGCCUCCAAGUUUUCUAGGAUGAUGCAAUGUCCAGCCAUCAACACAUUUGUGAAGGAAUUUUUACUUCCUAAAAGAGCGCCCCCCAUGGCAGGAGAAAAAAGUCCAUUUUUUCUUGUCCCCUAAGGUGAAAAUACACAUUGUUGACUGUCACGCCUGUACGCUUUGGCAAAAUGACACAAAAAUUGACAAUCAUGUGUAUCUCAAUUAGAUCUACGAAAAAGUCAAAGAGCGCGUAUCUGUAUAAUGUACGGUAAAAGGGCUAUUUUGCAUUUUUUGCCGAUUCGCACACAUUGGAAUUUCGCUAACUCCUCCUAAGGCUUUCGUCCCACUGACACCAAAUUUGCUCAGGCCAAUCUACACUCCAUGGCCAUUCAAAGUUGUAAAAAUCAUGACGCUGCACCCCACGGUUUACGUUUUAGGGGGCGCCAAAGAUGACCCAAAUAUACAUUACAGUAGACAAAGUAGUUUUGCCCACUGAGUGGCGCCAAAGGGACUUGUCUAUGGAGUCUGUGAGUCACUAUUGGCCGUUUUUGACUACUUUAGAUUUUACCUUUAUAUUUCCUCUUACAAAAUUUUUACCUUGCCUUGCCUGGUAUCAUUUUUUUCAGCACAACCUCACCUGUGUCAAUUUACAGUUAUUUUAUCAUUUUGACAUACUAUAUUUACACAUUGGACCCAAAUUCACACACAAAACAUAAAAUCCGAGUGGAAAAAAGUAACGUUUUUACUGUGAAAACCACAAAUAUGUGUGAUGAACUGUUUUUAAAACUUAAACUUCAAAUAAAAAUUGUAAACUUCAGAACAUAUGCAAAUUUUUAACAAAGAACAUAGUAAUUUACCUCUAUUUACAUCAAAAUGCAGGCAAUGGCUCAGGUGUUCUUUGUAAAAUUAUUUACAAAACACUGUAUAGUCUCACAAAUGUCACUUUUUAUUUAUGCCACUACAAAAAAAACAUGAUGUAAAUGAUGCAUGAUGUAAAACAUGAUGUAAAAAACUUGUGUAGAUCCUCCUCUAUGUUAGUCCAUGUGUAAUUUUUCCAUAAUUCUUUGUUUUUUGCAGCAUUUUUGUUAGUGUAACUGCAGAUUGUGCUGACAGUGUCUAUGGCAAAAAAAAAAAAAAAAAAUUAAAAUGCCUCAACAUGAACCCCUGGUGGUCUCUGAGGGUGAAACCUGCUAACUGCUGCAGCUCUGUCAGCUUCAGUCUCCCAUGCAGAGCUCGGAGCGCAUGUGUGGCUCUGCACCCUUAGCAGCGUUGUUAACUCCUCAGUAAGGAAAGCCUGCUUCAUGUCAGAGUCUCAAAACUCCAGAAGAAGUCGAUAAAAGUCCCUUUCUUUCUAAAAGUCGUUAGGGGGUCUGAAAAGUCAUUGAAUCUAACAACAAAGUCGCUAGGUUUGCAACUACGUGUCCCAGACUGCAUCCCUGCUGAGAGUCCCUCCCUCCCUUCUCAUAUUGCAGGAAGAACGUAAGCGCCCGCCCCUUGUCAAUCAGUCACCAUAUAAUUUUGGAUUGGUUGUUGUGGUGAAGUUUUCCACCAAUAGGAGAGAUGUUGUGGUGUGUUUUUUUUUUCCUUUGGCAAGCCUUUUCCGCCUGUAAGACCUGUCGCUAAUGUCUGCAUGCUAUGUUUUCCUGUCUCAUACAGCGCGAUCGAGCGCCGAACGUGAUCAAAAUAAGCAGAAAACAAGUAUCGCGGACAUAAUUUAUCAUAACUCUGGUUUUAUUUGGCCUAUCAACACAAUUUAAAAACUGGUAUAUAGGUUGAGGUCCUCACUUUUGAGAUAAGUUGAAACGGAGAGUCAACGAGGCUCCGUCUUGCAGCUACAUCCGGUUAAAUAUGUCAUGUGACUUGAACGCACACACAGACACACACACACACGCACACACACACACACACACACUCAGAGUCUGGUUUUUAGCACCUGCAAAAACAUGCUAUUUACAUAUUUGACAAGAAUGCAGAGGCUCCUUUUGCCCCUGAAAAAAAUCAAAUUUCAAACACAACUUGACUGGUCAUUUCUCCAAAAGACAACCAUGAAGCUCCAUCCAAACCUGAAGCAGGCAGUUGGUGCAUGUGCACAGUAACCUGAGGGGAGUGAGGUGACUGCUUCUGAGGAGAACAUGAGCAGUGAAGAUUCACCUUAGAGCUAGAACAGAGACGUGCACAUGAUUAUACAGGGGCAGGGGCUCAAGUUUUUUCCAGUUGUUUAUACAAUAUGGAAAUUAAUGUGAAAUUAAAAAACAAAGUAUUAAUAGAAAGGUAAUGACUGUCCUGUGUAGGUGACAGUGAUAUCCAAUAGGCUAGGCACUCACGAGGCUGGCUGUGGCAAGUGUAAGUGAAAGCAACACGCACUGGCAGGAAGAACAGCAAACGCCGAUGAAGGAAAAGGGUCUUUGCAGUGAUGGGCGUUACCAGAGAGGGCGAUGGCCAGAGGACACAAAUGGGACGGGGAGGCAGCGCGUUGGGGGGGGACGCGACACAGCUCGGGCCCGCCAGUGCCCCAACGGGGUCCUAGUUCUUUGUUUCUUUCUUUCUUUUUUCUUUUUCCUCCCCUUUGAACUGGAAAAUGGCCCACUUCCCACUGGCGAAAACUCAUGAAAUUUGGCAGGACGACCGGGCCUGGUGAAAAAUUCGAUAUUCUGAAGUCGCCAAAACAAUAAAAUGCAAAAUGGCUCCAUAGCGCCCCCUAAGGUGGAAAUUCACACUAUUGACUGUCACGCCUGUACGCUUUGUCAUAUUGACACAAAAAUUGACACACACAUGUAUCUCAAUAAGAUCUACAAAAAAGUCAGUGCGGCCGUAUCUGUCAAAAUUACGGUUAAAGGGUUAUUUCGCAUUUUUUGCCGAUCCGCACACAUUGGAAUUUCGCUAACUCCUCCGAAGGCUUUCGUUCCACCGGCACCACAUUUGCUCAGGCCAAUCUACACCCCAUGGCCAUUAAAAGUUAUCAAAAUCAUGACGCUGCACCCCAAGGUUUAGGUUCUAGGGGGCGCCAAAGAUAACACUAAAAUCCACAUAUUUAAAAGUCUUAUAACUUUUUAUUUUUGUCCUCACUGGCCUCCAAGUUUUCUAGGAUGAUGCAAUGUCCAGCCAUCAACACAUUUGUGAAGGAAUUUUUACUCCCCAAAAGAGCGCCCCCCCAUGGCAGGAGAAAAAAGUCCAUUUUUUCUUGUCCCCUAAGGUGAAAAUACACAUUGUUGAGUGUCACGCCUAUACGCUUUGUCAAAAUGACACAAAAAUUGACACACACGUAACUCAAUAAGAUCUACAAAAAAGUCCAUGCGCGCGUAUCUGUCAAAUGUACAGUUAAAGGGUUAUUCCGCAUUUUUUGCCGAUCCGCACACAUUGGAAUUUCGCUAACUCCUCCGAAGGCUUUCGUUCCACCGGCACCACAUUUGCUCAGGCCAAUCUACACCCCAUGGCCAUUAAAAGUUAUUCAAAUCAUGAUGCUGCACCCCAUGGUUUAGGUUCUAGGGGGCGCCAAAAAUAACCCAAAAAUCCACAUUCUUAAAUGUUUUAUAACUUUUUAUUUUUGUCCUCACUGGCCUCCAAGUUUUCUAGGAUGAUGCAAUGUCCAGCCAUCAACACAUUUGUGAAGGAAUUUUUACUCCCCAAAAGAGCGCCCCCCCAUGGUAGGAGAAAAAAGUCAAUUUUUUCUUGUCCCCUUACAUAAAAAUACACAUUGUUGAGUGUCACGCCUGAACGCUUUGUCAUAUUGACACAAAAAUUGACAAUCAUGUGUAUCUCAAUUAGAUCUACGAAAAAGUCAAAGAGCGCGUAUCUGUAUAAUGUACGGUUAAAGGGCUAUUUUGCAUUUUUUGCCGAUUCGCACACAUUGGAAUGUGGCUAUCUCCUCCUAAGGCUUUCGUCCCACCGAUACCAAAUUUGCUCAGGGCAAUCUACACCCCAUGCCCAUUCAAAGUUGUAAAAAUCAUGACGCUGCACCCCACGGUUUACGUUCUAGGGGGCGCCAAAGAUGACCCAAAAAUCCACAUUCUUAAAAGUCAUUUUGGCCACUGCAGGAGUACAGAGUACUGCAGUUCUAGGGGGCGCCAAAGAUGACCCAAAAAUCCACAUUCUUAAAAGUCUUUUUGGCCACUGCAGGAGUACAGAGUACUGCAGGAUACACACACAUAUACACACACGCCAACAUACACACACACACACACACACACACACACACACACACACACUCAGAGUCUGUUUUUUAGCACCUGCAAAAACAUGCUGUUUACAUAUUUGACAAGAAUGCAGAGGCUUCCUUUUGCCCCUGAAAAAAAUCAAAUUUCAAACACAACUUGACUGUUCAUUUCUCCAAAAGACAACCAUGAAGCUCCAUUUCAAACCUGAAGCAGAUAGUUGGUGCAUGUGUACAGUAACCGGAGGGGAGUGAGGUGACUAUUUCUGAGGAGAACAUGAGCAGUGAAGAUUCACCUUGGAGCUAGAACAGGGACGUGCACAUGAUUAUACAGGGGCAGGGGCUCAAGUUUUUUCCAGUCAUUUAUACAAUAUGGAAAUUAAUGUGAAAUUAAACCACAAAUAUGUGUGAUGAACUGUUUUUAAAACUUAAACUUCAAAUAAAAAUUGUAAACUUCAAAACAUAUGCAAAUUUUUAACAAAGAACAUAGUAAUUUACCUCUAUUUACAUCAAAAUGCAGGCAAUGGCCCAGGCGUUCUUUGUAAAAUUAUUUACAAAACACUGUAUAGUCUCACAAAUGUCACUUUUUAUUUAUGCCACUACAAAAAAACAUGAUGUAAAUGAUGCAUGAUGUAAAACAUGAUGUAAAAAACUUGUGUAGAUCCUCCUCUAUGUCAGUCCAUGUGUAAUUUUUCCAUAAUUCUUUGUUUUUUGCAGCAUUUUUGUUAGUGUAACUGCAGAUUGUGCUGACAGUGUCUAUGGCACAAAAAAAAAAAAAAAAUUAAAAUGCCUCAACAUGAACCCCUGGUGGUCUCUGAGGGUGAAACCUGCUAACUGCUGCAGCUCUGUCAGCUUCAGUCUCCCAUGCAGAGCUCGGAGCGCAUGUGUGGCUCUGCACCCUUAGCAGCGUUGCUAACUCCUCAGUAAGGAAAGCCUGCUUCAUGUCAGAGUCUCUAAACUCCAGAAGAAGUCGAUAAAAGUCCCUUUCUUUCUAAAAAAAAGUCGUUAGGGGGUCUGAAAAGUCAUUGAAUCUAACAACAAAGUCGCUAGGUUUGCAACUACGUGUCCCAGACUGCAUCCCUGCUGAGAGUCCCUCCCUCCCUUCUCAUGUUGCAGGAAGAACGUAAGCGCCCGCCCCUUGUCAAUCAGUCACCAUAUAAUUUUGGAUUGGUUGUUGUGGUGAAGUUUUCCACCAAUAGGAGAGAUGUUGUGGUGUGUUUUUUUUUUCCUUUGGCAAGCCUUUUCCGCCUGUAAGACCUGUCGCUAAUGUCUGCAUGCUAUGUUUUCCUGUCUCAUACAGCGCGAUCGAGCGCCGAACGUGAUCAAAAUAAGCAGAAAAAAAGUAUCGCGGACAUAAUUUAUCAUAACUCUGGUUUUAUUUGGCCUAUCAACACAAUUUAAAAACUGGUAUAUAGGUUGAGGUCCUCACUUUUGAGAUAAGUUGAAACGGAGAGUCAACGAGGCUCCGUCUUGCAGCUACAUCCGGUUAAAUAUGUCAUGUGACUUGAACGCACACACAGACACACACACACGCACACACACACACACACACACACACACACACACACACACACACACACACUCAGAGUCUGGUUUUUAGCACCUGCAAAAACAUGCUAUUUACAUAUUUGACAAGAAUGCAGAGGCUCCUUUUGCCCCUGAAAAGAAUCAAAUUUCAAACACAACUUGACUGGUCAUUUCUCCAAAAGACAACCAUGAAGCUCCAUCCAAACCUGAAGCAGGCAGUUGGUGCAUGUGUACAGUAACCUGAGGGGAGUGAGGUGAGUGCUUCUGAGGAGAACAUGAGCAGUGAAGAUUCACCUUGGAGCUAGAACAGAGACAUGCACAUGAUUAUACAGGGGCAGGGGCUCAAGUUUUUUCCAGUCGUUUAUACAAUAUGGAAAUUAAUGUGAAAUUAAAACACAAAGUAUUAAUAGAAAGGUAAUGACUGUCCUGUGUAGGUGACAGUGAUAUCCAAUAGGCUAGGCACUCACGAGGCUGGCUGUGGCAAGUGUAAGUGAAAGCAACACGCACUGGCAGGAAGAACAGCAAACGCCGAUGAAGGAAAAGGGUCUUUGCAGUGAUGGGCGUUACCAGAGAGGGCGAUGGCCAGAGGACACAAAUGGGACGGGGAGGCAGCACGUUGGGGGGGGGGGGACGCGACAUGGCUCGGGCCCGCCAGUGCCCCAACGGGGUCCUAGUUAGGGCCCAAGCGUAGCUGCUAAGCAGCUGCGAGAGCCCUCUUGUUCCUGUAGUUUCCUUCUUUUUAGGGCCCGAGCGUAGCUGCUAAGCAGCUGCGAGAGCCCUAUUAUUCCCCAAGUGGUUUUUCUUUGUUUCUUUCUUUCUUUCUUUCUUUCUUUCUUCUUUUUCCUCCCCUUUGAACUGGAAAAUGGCCCACUUCCCACUGGCGAAAACUCAUGAAAUUUGGCAGGACGACCGGGCCUGGUGAAAAAUUCGAUAUUCUGAAGUCGCCCAAACAAUAAAAUGCAAAAUGGCUCCAUAGCGCCCCCUAAGGUGGAAAUUCACACUAUUGACUGUCACGCCUGUACGCUUUGUCAUAUUGACACAAAAAUUGACACACAUAUGUAUCUCAAUAAGAUCUAUAAAAAAGUCAGUGCGGCCGUAUCUGUCAAAUGUACGGUUAAAGGGUUAUUUCGCAUUUUUUUCCGAUCCGCACACAUUGGAAUUUCGCUAACUCCUCCGCAGGCUUUCGUUCCACCGGCACCACAUUUGCUCAGGCCAAUCUACACCCCGUGGCCAUUAAAAGUUAUCAAAAUCAUGACGCUGCACCCCAAGGUUUAGGUUCUAGGGGGCGCCAAAGAUAACACUAAAAUCCACAUAUUUAAAAGUCUUAUAACUUUUUAUUUUUGUCCUCACUGGCCUCCAAGUUUUCUAGGAUGAUGCAAUGUCCAGCCAUCAACACAUUUGUGAAGGAAUUUUUACUCCCCAAAAGAGCGCCCCCCCAUGGAAGGAGAAAAAAGUCCAUUUUUUCUUGUCCCCUAAGGUGAAAAUACACAUUGUUGAGUGUCACGCCUAUACGCUUUGUCAAAAUGACACAAAAAUUGACACACACAUGUAACUCAAUAAGAUCUACGAAAAAGUCAAUGCGCGCGUAUCUGUCAAAUGUACGGUUAAAGGGUUAUUCCGCAUUUUUUGCCGAUCCGCACACAUUGGAAUUUCGCUAACUCCUCCGAAGGCUUUCGUUCCACCGGCACCACAUUUGCUCAGGCCAAUCUACACCCCAUGGCCAUUAAAAGUUAUUCAAAUCAUGACGCUGCACCCCACGGUUUAGGUUCUAGGGGGCGCCAAAGACAACCCUAAAAUCCACAUAUUAAAAAGUCUUAUAACUUUUUAUUUUUGUCCUCACUGGCCUCCAAGUUUUCUAGGAUGAUGCAAUGUCGAGCCAUCAACACAUUUGUGAAGGAAUUUUUACUCCCCAAAAGAGCGCCCCCCCAUGGCAGGAGAAAAAAGUCCAUUUUUUCUUGUCCCCUAAGGUGAAAAUACAUAUUGUUGAGAUUCACGCCUAUACGCUUUGUCAUAUUGACACAAAAUUUGACAAUCACGUGCCUUGCCUGGUAUCAUUUUUUUUCAGCACAACCUCACCUGUGCGAAUUUACAGUUAUUUUAUCAUGUUGACAUACUGAAUUUACACAAUGGACCCAAAUUCACACACAAAACAUAAAAUCCGAGUGGAAAAAAGUAACAUUUUUACUGUGAAAACCACAAAUAUGUGUGAUGAACUGUUUUUAAAACUUAAACUUCAAAUAAAAAUUGUAAACUUCAAAACAUAUGCAAAUUUUUAACAAAGAACAUAGUGAUUUACCUCUAUUUACAUCAAAAUGCAGGCAAUGGCCCAGGCGUUCUUUGUAAAAUUAUUUACAAAACACUGUAUAGUCUCACAAAUGUCACUUUUUAUUUAUGCCACUACAAAAAAACAUGAUGUAAAUGAUGCAUGAUGUAAAACAUGAUGUAAAAAACUUGUGUAGAUCCUCCUCUAUGUCAGUCCAUGUGUAAUUUUUCCAUAAUUCUUUGUUUUUUGCAGCAUUUUUGUUAGUGUAACUGCAGAUUGUGCUGACAGUGUCUAUGGCACAAAAAAAAAAAAAAUUUAAAAUGCCUCAACAUGAACCCCUGGUGGUCUCUGAGGGUGAAACCUGCUAACUGCUGCAGCUCUGUCAGCUUCAGUCUCCCAUGCAGAGCUCUGAGCGCAUGUGUGGCUCUGCACCCUUAGCAGCGUUGCUAACUCCUCAGUAAGGAAAGCCUGCUUCAUGUCAGAGUCUCUAAACUCCAGAAGAAGUCGAUAAAAGUCCCUUUCUUUCUAAAAAAAGUCGUUAGGGGGUCUGAAAAGUCAUUGAAUCUAACAACAAAGUUGCUAGGUUUGCAACUACGUGUCCCAGACUGCAUCCCUGCUGAGAGUCCCUCCCUCGCUUCUCAUGUUGCAGGAAGAACGUAAGCGCCCGCCCC
Molecule: long non-coding RNA, 35504 nt
Filed under: Xyrichtys novacula (pearly razorfish)
Lineage: Eukaryota; Metazoa; Chordata; Actinopteri; Labriformes; Labridae
Source: RNAcentral